GUAGAGGAGCUGGACCGUUUAGGAAAAGAAAAAAUGAAGACCCUUAUUCAUAGAGACCACAUGUUAAGACUGAACAUCCCACUCCUCAUGUGGGCAUUUCCACCCAUUACUAAAAUUGAUAUUUGGAUGCCUUCGUGCCUGUUGGAGAACCCAAAUAAGGAUUUCAGGUGACUGAGUACAAACAGAUAGCAUGGCAUUUAGAAACAGACAGCAAGAAGUAGAAGGGAAAAUGUGUGUGCAGCAAUUUAACGAGGUUUGGAUUACAAAUUCAGUUUCCUUAUCUUUUUGCCAGCAUGUGGCAACAGUUCUAAAGGAGACAGAAAAUGCAUUGAAUGCCAGGAGAAAGAUGAAGAUCCCCCCAAACUCAACUUUAUAAACAGUCCUGGUGGAAUAUUCACAAUGUGGAAGUCAGGAUAAACUGGCUAUUCCACCCGCCACUGCCCCCCAGGAAAAGAAAAGCCUAAAUGAAUAAGAAAGCCAACGGAAAUAAGUGCUUUUUAGUAAAGAUCAUCGCAUUUGGUGCUGUGAGUGGCAGGAAGCGUUGGCACAGACUUGGGAGCUACAUGAGGACUCCGGUGGCGUGGUCAGGGUGAAGUGAGCCUGACUUCCUGGCCUGGCCUCCCCAGACUAAUAAUCAAAAAGAGCUGCCCUUCCCCAGCCCUAAACAGCCCUGUGUGAACACAGUGUCUCCUAGUAGUGCCUGUGGCUUACAAGUAAUGUGAGAGUCUUUUUAUAACUGUUGAGGUUUAACGUAAAAGGAAGCUCAGAAUCAGCGGUAAAGGGAGGGGAAUGUUGUGAACUACAGACCAUCUGAAAUGGGGAAAAUCAUAAAUACCAGAGUGUCUGAUUAUUUGAAUGUCUCUUGAAGUCAAAUAAUGAACCUUCUUCAUGUUCUGCUUUUCUGGACUUGGCUCCCUCUGACAAAUUUGCAGGCAUCAGGGUCUGUCUGGAAUUCCUUCCAAGUUGGAGGGAUAUUUUUUCCCUUGACAUUUUGCAGCUGAGACAGCCGGAGCAGGAAGCUGAGGAGCGUAACAUUACCAAAUAUGUCCUUUCUCCUGCCCGUAAGUUCUAUUUCCACAGGAAAAGAAGGCAGAUGCUGGCCAAUGAGAACUGGCCAGUAGAAAUGCAGCCACAGCAGGCGGCCUCUACUGGAAGUGAGGAAAUUGAUCAGAUGCCAUUUUUCACAAAAAUGGAAACUGUUCUAGGUACCACCAAUUAAAAUUUGUGCUACGCUGGAGGAAGAAGUUUGACAGGUUCCUACAAGUUGCCCAGCUAUUUCAGGGGAAUUCUUUAUCACUCUAUUGGUCUCAUUUUCUCAACACCCCUGGAGUGGGAAUUAGAGAGUUGGCCUUGGCUGCUGACACACUGUGCUUUUGACCAGAUCAUUUCUCCUAGGAUGUGGGGGAAGCUUCAGAUGCUUUAUUGCUAAAAUGAAGGUUUGGAUGUGAUGAGCUCCCAGAUCCCCUCUGGGUUACCAAGACUGUGGUCUCCAAGCUUCUUCAAUCGUGUGUUUCAACCACUAAAAUAAAUCCAAAUAUUUGUCC
RNAcentral lists this long non-coding RNA (1544 nucleotides) under Homo sapiens (human). Its description in RNAcentral is "HSALNT0113242". The record is from RNAcentral. Lineage: Eukaryota; Metazoa; Chordata; Mammalia; Primates; Hominidae.